Molecule: ribosomal RNA, 478 nt
Filed under: uncultured bacterium
Lineage: Bacteria
Description: bacterial SSU rRNA
Rfam family: Bacterial small subunit ribosomal RNA
Source: RNAcentral
CACUGUCACUCCUACGGGGAGGCAGCAGUGGGGAAUAUUGCACAAUGGGCGCAAGCCUGAUGCAGCCAUGCCGCGUGUAUGAAGAAGGCCUUCGGGUUGUAAAGUACUUUCAGUCGUGAGGAAGGCGGCGCGUUAAUAGCGGCGUUGUUUGACGUUAGCGACAGAAGAAAGCACCGGCUAACUCCGUGCCAGCAGCCGCGGUAAUACGGAGGGUGCGAGCGUUAAUCGGAAUUACUGGGCGUAAAGCGCAUGCAGGUGGUUUGUUAAGUCAGAUGUGAAAGCCCGGGGCGUCAACCUCGGAAUUGCAUUUGAAACUAGGCAGACUAGAGUACUGUAGAGGGGGGUAGGAAUUUCAGGUGUAGCGGUGAAAUGCGUAGAGAUCUGAAGGAAUACCGGUGGCGAAGGCGGCCCCCUCGGACAGAUACUGACACUCAGAUGCGAAAGCGUGGGGAGCAAACAGGAUUAGAUACCCUGGUAG